This 433-nucleotide ribosomal RNA is filed under the name uncultured bacterium. Its description in RNAcentral is "partial 16S ribosomal RNA". It matches the Rfam family "Bacterial small subunit ribosomal RNA", at positions 29 to 507 of the family's 1533-position model. The record is from RNAcentral.
AACGAACGCUGGCGGCAUGCCUAACACAUGCAAGUCGAACGAGACCUUCGGGUCUAGUGGCGCACGGGUGCGUAACGCGUGGGAACCUGCCUUUAGGUUCGGAAUAACUCCCCGAAAGGGGUGCUAAUACCGGAUAAUGUCUUCGGACCAAAGAUUUAUCGCCUUUGGAUGGGCCCGCGUUGGAUUAGCUAGUUGGUAGGGUAAAAGCCUACCAAGGCGACGAUCCAUAGCUGGUCUGAGAGGAUGAUCAGCCACACUGGGACUGAGACACGGCCCAGACUCCUACGGGAGGCAGCAGUGGGGAAUAUUGGACAAUGGGCGAAAGCCUGAUCCAGCAAUGCCGCGUGAGUGAUGAAGGCCUUAGGGUUGUAAAGCUCUUUUACCCGGGAUGAUAAUGACAGUACCGGGAGAAUAAGCUCCGGCUAACUCCGUG